Molecule: ribosomal RNA, 334 nt
Filed under: uncultured bacterium
Lineage: Bacteria
Description: bacterial SSU rRNA
Rfam family: Bacterial small subunit ribosomal RNA
Source: RNAcentral
GACGAACGCUGGCGGCGCGCCUAAUACAUGCAAGUCGAACGGGUCUCCUUCGGGAGGUCAGUGGCGGACGGGUGAGUAACACGUGGGUGACCUGCCCCGAAGUGGGGAAUAACGCUGCGAAAGCAGCGCUAAUACCGCAUAUGCUUAACGGUCCAAUCUGUUAAGCAAAGCAGCAAUGCGCUUUGGGAGGGGCCUGCGGCAGAUUAGCUAGUCGGUGGGGUAAUGGCCACCGAGGCGACGAUCUGUAGCUGGUCUGAGAGGAUGACAGCCACACUGGGACUGAGACACGGCCCAGACUCCUACGGGAGGCAGCAGUAAGGAAUAUUCCACAAGU